UUCGUGAAAACUCGCUGGCACAUCGCUC
RNAcentral lists this non-coding RNA (28 nucleotides) under Bombyx mori (domestic silkworm). The record is from RNAcentral. Lineage: Eukaryota; Metazoa; Arthropoda; Insecta; Lepidoptera; Bombycidae.